This 767-nucleotide ribosomal RNA is filed under the name uncultured endophytic bacterium. RNAcentral's name for it is "bacterial SSU rRNA". It matches the Rfam family "Bacterial small subunit ribosomal RNA", at positions 771 to 1533 of the family's 1533-position model. The record is from RNAcentral.
AACCGGAUUAGAUACCCUGGUAGUCCACGCUGUAAACGAUGAUCACUAGACGUUAGUUCCGUUUAACGGAAUUAGUGUCGUAGCUAACGCGUUAAGUGAUUCGCCUGGGAAGUACGGUCGCAAGAUUAAAACUCAAAGGAAUUGACGGGGGUCCGCACAAGCGGUGGAACAUGUGGUUUAAUUCGACACUACGCGAGGAACCUUACCUAGGCUUGACAUGCUUGUGACAGCUGCAGAAACGCAGUCUUCUUAGCUUCGGUUAAGACACAUUCACAGGUGCUGCAUGGCUGUCGUCAGCUCGUGCCGUGAGAUGUUUGGUUAAGUCCUCUAACGAGCGCAACUCUUGCUAUCAGUUGCUACUUUUAAGUAAAGCACUCUGAUGGGACUGCCUGGGAAACCAGGAGGAAGGUGGGAAUGACGUCAAGUCAGCAUGGUCCUUAUGCCUAGGGCUACACACGUGUUACAAUGGUCGGUACAAAGGGCUGCUAAGUCGUGAGAUGGAGCUAAUCCCAGAAAGCCGAUCUAAGUUCAGAUUGAGGUCUGCAACUCGACCUCAUGAAGUUGAAAUCGCUAGUAAUCGCAUAUCAGCAACGAUGCGGUGAAUACGUUCUCGGACCUUGUACACACCGCCCGUCACACCAUGAGAGCUGUUCGUACCCGAAGCCAUCUUAGCCAAAUCACUAGUGCGGCCGCCUGCAGGUCGACCAUAUGGGAGAGCUCCCAACGCGUUGGAUGCAUAGCUUGAGUAUUCUAUAGUGUCACCUAAA